CAGCCGCCGCGGGAACACGGAGGGAGCUAGCGUUGUUCGGAAUUACUGGGCGUAAAGCGCACGUAGGCGGUUAUUCAAGUCAGAGGUGAAAGCCCGGGGCUCAACCCCGGAACUGCCUUUGAAACUAGAUGACUAGAAUCUUGGAGAGGUCAGUGGAAUUCCGAGUGCAGAGGUGAAAUUCGUAGAUAUUCGGAAGAACACCAGUGGCGAAGGCGACUGACUGGACAAGUAUUGACGCUGAGGUGCGAAAGCGUGGGGAGCAAACAGGAUUAGAUACCCCAGUAGUCCCUGUCUCUUAUAC
RNAcentral lists this ribosomal RNA (301 nucleotides) under uncultured bacterium. Its description in RNAcentral is "partial 16S ribosomal RNA". It matches the Rfam family "Bacterial small subunit ribosomal RNA", at positions 509 to 807 of the family's 1533-position model. The record is from RNAcentral.